GACGAACCGAUUGGAAAAUUUUAUAGCGCAACCAAGCUGCAUGAGGCAGCGAUUAAUUUUAAGGAAGUUCGAAAUGAAUGCUUACUUGACGUAAAAUUUUACUUCUACAAAAGUGAGUUACGUAUACCACGUCUUCAGAUAGACCACCACACUGAACUUCUCUUCGGAAAUCUCAUUGCCUUGGAGUGGUGUCAUUAUAAAGGAGAAGAGUACAUCUGCCAUUACGUUAAGCUACUUGAUACUCUUGUUGCCAAACCCAAAGAUGUGGCUCUCCUCAUUAAAAAUAAAUCAUUAAAACAGACAGAGAUGGUGCUUCAGUGAAGAAUCUGAUUGACAAGCUUUCGGCAGAAACUUCUGAAGAAUAUUCCAUUUACCUCUACAAGCAGCUGGAUCAACACUACCAGAAUCCUGGUUGAAAAAUAGCGCAUACUUUAGAGAGGUAUAUUUUGGAAACCUUUGGAGAAGUACUGCAACUGUUAGUGCAACUGUCUUGCUCCUCUCCACUCUUGUACAGACAAUUUGUGCAGUCCUUUCCUUGCGCUAGUACUCCAAGGGGACCAAGUUAGCCCCAAUCCGGUGUCAUUUUAUUUCUCUCAUUGUUGACUUUCGUUGUAUUGUUGUGUACUUUCCGUUUCCUUUGCAGUUUUUCAUUGUACUUCAACUCAUGGGCUUUCUUUGUAUUUAGUAUUCAUGACUUUGUAAUGGAUGCUGUCUUCACUAUCAAGUUCAUCCUGCAGAAUUCAACAAAUCUCCAUCGUAAAGAGUCAAAAAUUAUCUUAGGAAAGCAAAAAUUGAUAGUGAAGAUUAUCUUAGGACUUGAUACUACUCGAAAAUCAACUAACUUACUUCAUUGUUGAGAAACAGUAUGACAAGAGAUAUUACCCUACAUUUCUUCAGCUUAUCUAUAACUACCCUGCAGCGGAGGCAAAACCUCAUCCAAGGGAAGUAAGACAUUUCACUGAUUUGGUAAGGUGUUCUAUAUUGUUGAGAAAAUGAUGAUGAUGGUGAUGAUGAUAAGAUCAAUAGUGUAAAAGAAAAAUCCAACUGCUUUUAGCAGAAUUCAAGGUUGCCUUUCUAUGGUUGCACCUGUUGUCAUAGUACUAGGCAUUCAAAUCAACACAAAGAUCAUGAUAACAAGUAAAAUACUCAUUAAUUUGCUCGCAAAACAAUAAUAAUUAUUUUCAAGAGUAUUUUUAUUUUAAAAUAUAUAUAAAUAAUUUUUAAUAUCAACUGUUAAAUAAUAUUUUUCCUUACUUUUUUAUUUAAGUCAUUGAGAAUGUCUAUUAAUUUGAGUUAUUUUGAAUCUUUAUUACAAAGAAUAUUUUUAAUUAAAUUCUUUUGUCAAAACAAAAAAAUACAUAAAAAGGGCAAUGAAGACAUUGAUCUAAGAAAUGCUAUUUUUUUUUUUCUUUUAAAAUCCAAAUCUUUCUAACUCUUACGAAUAUUGAUUUUAAUUAUUAUAUGAUUAAAUAAAAAUUAGUUUUUGAAAUUACCCCCGCAACAUGAUGCUGGCGGAAAAGCUAUGUACGUUACUCUCUCUCUCUCUUUCGUCCUUUGACAGCUUGUUCAUUCCAGCAAAGAAACAACAGUGGGUGUGGUGGGGAUGGGACUUGGGAUUUUGGUGAACGAUGAUAAUCAGAUGUGGGGACAUUUUAUUAUAAAUAUUAUCUGAGCACCCUAUGGCAUAGCCCAUUGUAAUGAAGUGACUAAUGGCACGUAGGUGGGCCUUCAUUGAGUUCUUGGACUUGAUUUUUUUAAUAUUGUUUUUUAUAUUUUAAAGGGUUGAACAUCAAUUUUCUUUAAAAAAUACGUGAGCAAUAAGUCACCGGCUGAGGCAAGUAGCAUUUCAUCUACGAGCCUAAAUUUCUAACCACUAUGUGGAGUUGGUUGGAAAAUCAGGUUAAUAUUUUGUUUUUUCUUGAUAAAUUCAAUUUUUUAGCCAUUUGAAUUCAAAACACCUCAUGAAGAUUCUUGAAAUACUUAAAAAUCAAUUUAUCAAUCAAAAAUACUUUAAAGAUAUCCAAAAAUCCAAAAUUAAAUCAAGUUUGAUCUGACUUCCUCAUCUUAGAUAUGCUUUCAAAUAAUAUUGAGACUCUAAACAACAACAAUUAAGCCUUUUUUAUUGUAUGAAAUCUAAAAACAUGAAGAAAACUACUUUGAUGGUCGAUAAUAGUGUGAACAAUGACCUUCUUUUUCACCGCUAUACUUUAGCAAUCUCUCUCUCAUUUCUUUAAUCAAGGACUGAAAAUUAACACAAAUUAAUUUUUGUAUCAAAAUUGAAUAUGUGAUUUGAAGGGACCUAAAUUAUAUAAAUUAUAUUAUUUUUAAAGUUUGAGAACCUAAAUGUAUUUUUCGUAAAAACCCUAACAGGCCAUCUAUCUUUUGAUGUAUUUUUCAUUUCACUCCUUUUUUUCAAUUCCAUAAUCUUCCAUCUAUUUCACCUCUAUAUAUAUCAUCUCAUCAGCCUCUCGAGAGUCGACUUAUUUUAGAUAGAAAAAUAUUACUACCAGUCAAGAUCGAGGGAGCAAUGAGCUGGAUCCAUCUUUGCUUCUUGACAAUGACCCAUGCCGAGAAAAUACAGAGGAGAUGGAGAAUUAAUUAAUGGAGAGCAAUGCAAUCAGCUUUCAAAACGAGAGUAGUUUAUCUUGCCCUCCCUCUUGAAGCUUCAAAUGAAAUGGAUCUUUAAUGCCGUCGUUGUAAGGCCAAACUCGGUAACUAUACCGAGAUAUGGAUCAACUUUUUUUUUUUUUUUCUAAAAACAAAUUAAAAUUUAAAAUGCUAUUAUUUUAUUAAAAAAAUAGACAAUAUUUUAACUAAGCAAAGUUCUUAUCUUCUUCGAGUUAUUGAGUUAAACCAUAAGUCAGCUAGAUAUUACUUACUAAUUUAUCACUUAUCUUUUUGCACCAGGUUGGACAUAAGUUUUUUGAAAUAUAUAAAAAAAAUUUAGAUCAUCAGAAACUUUGAAGCAUUAUCAUUAAAUUUAGUAUAAUUGUUUAAAUUUAAAAAAUCUUAAUUUGACUAUUUUUUUAAAUAUUUAGUUAGUGUUUCAAGCUCGCAACAUGAAUUAUGUAUUCAAUUAACUUUGAUUAAUUUUUUUUUUAUUUGAUGAUAGAAAACAUAAAAAUUGAUUUAUCAUUAAAUCAAUACUCUUAGAUAAAAUUCAAUAAAAAUCUCAAAUUAAAUGAUGCAAUUAUAAAAAAAGGGGCAAAAGAUAUAAACAAAAGAGCCAAAAAAAUCUUGAUCCGAAUCUUUAAUUAAUAUUUAGCUAACUUUUAAUUUAAAUAUUGAUGCAAUGGACUUUACAUAUUGAUUUUUUUUAAUUUAUUAUAUGAUAAGACAAAAACUAAUUUACUAUUAAUCCAAUAUCAAUGAUAAAAUUUAAUAAAAAAUUCAUACUAAAUAAUGAAAUUUAAAAAAAAAAAAACAAUAUAAAAAAAUUAAAAAUCCCAACCAGACUUUUUAAUGAAUAUUUAAUUAACUCAUUAAAGCUACAAUUCUAGUUAUAAACUUUAUUGGUUUUAUUCAAGUUUUUAAUUUUAUUAUAUAAUAAAAAAUAAAAAAUUAAUUUAUUAUUAAGAAAACUAAGAUUGAAUAAAAACCCUUUAAUGAUAGGAGUAUGAAAAAAAAAUAUCCAAGAAAAAAAGCCCAGUCACCCUCAGCUUGUUCAUAGGAGCCAGGAAUGCGAACCUGAAAGUCGUCUCUGUUUGAUUUUAAAAAAAUAACAGCCACUGGCUUCUUUGCUACUGAAUUCUCGAUCGAAGAAGCAAAAUUAAAAAAAAAAAAAUCGAAUCCAAAACAGGAGUUAGUUGAAUUUGUUUUGACAAGAGAGAAAAGGAUAGUUAAACACAAAACAAGGAGAGAGAGAGAGAGAGAUGAGAGAUUUUUCAAUGGGGAACUUUUGACGAAAAAAAAGAAGAUAUUUUGAUGUAAAUUGCGGGGUCACAAAUUGAUUAUGAAUAUUAAGUUCUGUUUGGUAACGCAGUCUUCAAUUCUCCGUGUAUUUAAGAAAUACUGUUUUGUUUUGUUGGGUGUUUGAAAAUAUAGUUAUAAUUGCUUUUCAAAUAUAUUUUUACUAAAAAGAAUAUGUUAAUUUUUAUUUUUAAAAAAAUAUUUUUGAGAUUAGUACAUUAAAAUGAUUUGAAAACAUCAAAAAUAUAUUAAUAAAAAAAAAUUAAAUUUUUUAAAAAAUACUUUUAAAAUACAGCGCUAAACACGCUCCCACAGCAAACAACCAGAACUCCAGGUUGAAAAAUAGCGCAUACUUUAGAGAGGUAAUUUUGGAAACCUUUGGAGAAGUACUGCAACUGUUAGUGCAACUGUCUUGCUCCUCUUCACUCUUGUACAGACAAUUUGUGCAGUCCUUUCCUUGCGCUAGUACUCCAAGGGGACCAAGUUAGCCCCAAUCCGGUGUCAUUUUAUUUCUCUCAUUGUUGACUUUCGUUGUAUUGUUUGUGUACUUUCCGUUUCCUUUGCAGUUUUUCAUUGUACUUCAACUCAUGGGCUUUCUUUGUAUUUAGUAUUCAUGACUUUGUAAUGGACGCUGUCUUCGCUAUCAAGUUCAUCCUGCAGAAUUCAACAAAUCUCCAUCCUAAAGAGUCAAAAAUUAUCUUAGGAAAGCAAAAAUUGAUAGUGAAGAUUAUCUUAGGACUUGAUACUACUCGAAAAUCAACUACCUAAGGGCGGAGUCAUGAAUUUUUUUUAUCCUGGACUAUUAAAUAAAAAUAUAAAUAUAUUUUAAGAUCGAUUAUUAAUUCAUGUACAUUAAUUUUUAAAAUUAAUAUUAAAGUUUUAAUUCAAAUACAUUAUCCAAAAUAUUAAAAAAUAAAUUUGAAAGUAUAUAAAAUUAAGACGAAAGUAAAAAUAAACUCACUAUUAAAGUUACAUCCUUCGAUGUUUUGUGGAAUAUAAUUCAUCUAUAAUCGAAUCUGAAUCGAUAUUGUAACAACCCCUCAACCGGGAUAAAAUAACAAUCUCAUGUCAACUGGAAAAUAAAGUAAUUAAAUUUUUUUCCUCUUUUAAUUCCUUCUUCCUUCACUUGAUUCUUCCUAGAUUAGUGUUUUAUAAGUUGGACUUUGUAAGUUUACAAGGUUAUUUCUCACUUUUAUUUUUUUCUUGGAAUUUUUUUAUGUUUUUCCCUUACUUUUUUCUAUUUCUCUCUCGCCUUUUCUUUUCUUUCUUCUUCUAUUCUGCUUCUGCUCAGUCGGCAACAUAUAAAAGGAAGGAGGAGCUGAUUUGUUUUAUUUUUUAAUGGCAAAUAACCAUUUUACUCUUAAUGAGUCAUUUUGCUUUUAUUUGACGGUCUUUUUUUUGUUAGCACUACCAAGCUCCGUUCAUCCUAAACUCUUAACUAGAUUUUAUUCAAUAUAUUUUAAGAUCCCUCGUAAAAUUUCAACUCGAUCUGAUGGUCGGAUUGAAAAUUACAUCCAAUAACGUAAAACUGAUCAAAUUGUGAUUUUUCAUCAAAUUUCUAAAUUUCUCCAAAAAUUCUGAAAUUUUAACCCAAGCUAAAGCAUCAUAUUAGAAGGCUCCACGUAAAUUUUCAGAAUUUUUUGAUAACUUAAUUGAGAAUUAUAAAUUUUUUUACAUAAAACUAGUUAAAAAAUAUUGAUAAAAUCUUGACCUAGGCUAAAGCCCACCCCAGCCUUUACCAUGCCUCCGCCUAUUUACUACCUUACUUAAUUGUUGAGAAACAGUAUGACAAGAGAUAUUACCCUACAUUUCUUCAGCUUAUCUGUAACUACCCUGCAGUGGAGGCAAAACCUCAUCCACGGGAAGUAAGACAUUUCACUGAUUUGGUAAGGUGUUCUAUGUUGAUUGAGCCUAGUCCUCGAAACCUUGACUUUCCUAUUGAACUCAAAUAUAAGGCAACCACGCUCGUUAAGGCAGGAGUUAAGUUUGUAGUUGUUGAUAAUAACCAUCUGGUUGACAUAAGAUUUGAUAAUGGGGUGUUGAAAAUACCACGCUUGGUCACUGGAAAUUAACAUUUUCGAAUGUACAAUUCGAAAUAUUAUAUGGCCUUGGAGCAGUUCCAUUACUAUCCAAAUGCAACUAAUUACAUAUGCGAUCACUUGUCAAGACUGAAGAAGAUGUGGAUUUGAUUGUCAGCUGGCUAGAGGACAACGCUAUGGUACCAGAUUUGAUCAACCAACUUUGUGGAGGAUUUGGACAAAUUUACACUCGCCAUCGUCAUGUCCGUGAAGGAUUAAAUGCUUUUUUUUUUAAUGAAGAAUUUACAAGGACUAAUUAACACAACCAUAGAAGAGUAGUAACCUAGAAAGUAGAAACUUAUUGAAGAAAAAAUGAAUUAUAUAGGCAGCCAUGUUAGAGGUCUUAAGGAAUGUUGAAUAAGGUGCAGAAAUGCUGAGCAUUUUCCUCUUCAUCACAUAAACAUAUAUUUAGGGCAACGAACAGGUAUCUUCAACUUCCAUGGAGCCCUCGGGUCCGCAGUUAUUAGUAGAACCAAAAACCAACAGAGUUAAACUAAUUAAUUGAAUUUUUAUCGAUGUAACUAUGAGAUUAAUAUUUUAUCAAUGAUGAGAUCAAUAGUGUAAAAGAAAAAUCCAACUGCUUUCAGCAGAAUAUAACACUGCAUUAGACUGACAAAAACUACUCGGAAAACAAUCCUGCUACUACAGUAGCUUCAAACCGCCUGCUUCGAGCCUAUAGAAGCAACUGUAUUGAAAUAAACACCAAUUAUGGAGAACAUAUGGGAAACCAUAACCAGAUACUGACUGUAGUAAUAAAACUAGAUAAGCUGCUUUGGACCUAGAAGUGAAAUUAUUGAACAUACAGUCUGUAUCAAAGUGAGGAUCAGCAGGACAGCUGCAGCAACAGUUCCGGUACCUCUCCAAAGAUUGCUGAAAUAUACAAGUUUCAAGGUUGCCUUUCUAUGAUUGCACCUGUUCUCAUAGUAGGCAUUCAAAUCAACACAAAGAUCAUGAUAACAAGUGAAAAAUUCAUUAAUUUGCUCGCAAAGCCGGUUAAUCAAAUCGGCAACCAUGGCGUUGUUUCCUAGCCAGUUAUCAAUCACCCCCACUUUAACCAGCAAAUCCACAUCUUCUUCAGUGUUGAUAAGAUGGUCCAUUAACAUAAAGUAAUUGCAUAUGUAAGUACUAUAUGGGUAGUGGCACUGCUCAUAUGCCAUGAGGUUUCGUGUCACAUAUUCGAAGCUCUGAUUUACUUCAAAGCGUGGCAUUUUCAACACUCCGUUGACAAAAUUUAUGUCGAGUACACAACUGUUUUCAGUUGCCUCAAACUUCAAUCCUGCUUUAUGAAGCAUGGUUGCACUGUAUUUCAGUUUGACAUUGGCACUAGGACGACGAGGUAAUAUCUCCAGGGACUCAUUCAACAUAGCAUAUCUCAGAAAAUCAGUGAAAUGCUUUAUCCCUACUGAGUUGACUUUUGGUCUCUGUGAAAUCCUGUAGUAAUGUCCAAAGUAGAAGGCGACAAGCUCAGGAAAAGUCAGGCUAGCUUGUGUUUCAGGGUCUGGAUAGGUUUGCUCGUAUAUUUUCUCCAGAAUGAAAUAAGGUAGCUGAUUUUCAAGUAGUAUCAAGUCCACUUGUAAACCAAACAUCAUCCGAGGCUCAGGUAAUAUAGGAACUUCUUCACAGAAAAGGUUAAGGAACUGCAACAAGAAUUCGAUGACGAAUACAGCAUCCAACAGAAUCAUCUUUAAAAAUCACAGCUACGAUUGAAGUUAUAACAGCCUCGAAUUUCCAUUUCAUUCUUCUGAACUAUGGUCACAAGAUCGUCCAAUGUCACCUUCUUCCCAUCCAUGAAUUCUGCUAAAUAUCUCAAUUUCUGCUCCUCCAUUGACACUAGUUCCUCAUGGCCACAGUGAGCAGGGCCUAGUGAAACUACUUGUGGGGUGUAGGCUUUCGGUUCUAUGCUUCGAAGUGAGCGGGGUACCUCGUAGAUACAGUGCUCGGGACAUUUUCCAGGUUUGAACCUUGCUAUCCCAUCUGCUAGAUCUUUCAGAACAUUUGAAGCACUUGCCGCUUCAAUCUCCUUUCCCGUGUUUGAAGCACUUGCCUUAUCAAUCCUGUUUUCAUUAUUUGAACGUGUUGCCAUGCCAAUAUCCUUAUUUGAAGCACUUGGGGUAUUAAUAUUGUUUUCCAUUUGUCAACAGAUUUUUGUCCUGGAGAGACAGCCAAUUGAAUCACUGGCAAUAAAAAUAUAUCUCCAAAUCAAGUGUACCAUGGUUGCUACAAUCUUACAUUCAUUUCAAUUCACAUUUAAAACGAUUUAUUUUUGUUUUCCAGCCACUCUUAACAAGUUUUAAGACCAGAUCAAACAAAUCAAAACAAAACAACUGUAUAAGAAACUAUUUUCAAGGAAAGAUCAUGAAGUUGAAUGAAAAAUACAGAGCAAAUCAUGGGAGAUUACAUGUGUAUUAUGGCUAUUGUUAAUUUCCCAUCAUCCUGAUCCAUAGAUUAUAUAGAUGUGUCAUGUAGAGUACUUUUUAACAUUAUCUAUGAUAUGAUCUCGGCCAUGUGGAUCCGUAAUUUUAUCAUUGUUUUGAUUCAGCUCUAGCAAUUUAUUUGUUCAGUUUGUUCUGUGUUUAGUUUUUUUGUUUUGUUUUGUUUUAAUUAUGAAUGUGAACCUCCACUGGCCUUAAUUAAACCAAAUUGAGAUGUGGGAUUAAGUUAUGUCAUGGGAAGUAAGAAUUCUGCUUCAAGAUUGUCAAUUGAAUGUUUUAUGAAAAAAAUGUGAAUUCUCUAUUUUAUCAUGUAAUGAUCUAUCUGGGCAUUUCAUUGAUUUAUUAUUAUUAUUAUUGGUUGAAUUGAAGAUGAGGCAGAAUUCAUGAGAACUAAGAACAUCAUCAUAUACUAAAUUCUUUUAUUCUAUAUAUAUAUAUAUAUACACUAUUGUUUUUUGGUCCUCCAGCUUUAGCUUUCAAUUUGUUUUUCUAAGGAGUCAUAACCUAAUUUUGUAAAAUUUAACAACAAGAAAACCUAAAAAAAUAUAAGAAAAUCUGGACAAAACAGAUUAAAACACACCCAAGUGCAUAAAACCACGAAAACAUAACUUUUAAGGCCUAAUUUGAAAGGAACAAUAGUUAGGGAAACAAACUAUAUAAUUGAUUGUCGUCAAUUAACAACAAAAAAACCUAACAAAAUAUAAGAAAAUCUGGGCAAAACAGAUUAAAACACUCCCUAGCGAAUAAAACCACGAAAACAACUCUUCCUAGCUAAAGACCAUCUCUUUUUAGUGUUGUUCUGCAAAAAGCCAAAACUGUUUUCUGCCAAGUAUAGAACCAUUUUGGAAUAUUUAUUGCUGAAGCAAUGCAAUUGCCUUUUCCGAAGGAAAGUUGUGUGCUGGGAUAUUUCUACGUACACAAUUCCUUCGGAAGUAGUAUGUAUGGAUAUCCUACACAGCUUAUCAGCUGUGAUCUUACGAGAGAAUCUUAAUCUUUAGUUAUAAUGGAGCAAUUAACCUCGCAGGGUAGGGGAGAUCGGCCAAGUAAUCGAGAACUCAUGAGGGUUAAAGCCUAAAGGACGAACUUCAUUUAUCAUUAAGAAGUAAGAACCGCUAAAUUAAGGCUUAAUUGAAAACUUUAAACAAAUAUAGUGAAACAAAAGAUGAACAUGAACAGAAAGAAAAAAGAACAGUAAAAGUAGCUAGUGCGCAAAGAACCUGAGUGCCUUUACCUGAGGAAAGCAAUUGUUUUGUUGUAAGCAGCACGCAGCCCCUUCCCUGGAUAUUGCUAUACUGAUCUGUUGAAUGCAGCCUCCCUCUCUCACUCUCUAUGUCUCCCUAAUAUGUAUAAUAAACAAGUAGUAUUCUUCUCUGUCUACUUGUCAUUGUUUCUCUCUCGUUUGGAAAUUACCGUCUUUUGAUUUAUUUUUUAGCUUCCAUCCAUGGCUUUUCAUUUUUUAGCUUUUUAAAGGGCUGGACAUCAUUUCUUUUAAAAAAAAAAAUACGUGAGCAAUAAGUCACACAUGAUGGGCAAACAACAUUUUAUCCACGAGUCUAGAUUCCAACUACUAUUAUAAUUAUUUAUAAAUUUAGAUUCCAACUACUAUUAUAAUUAUCUACAAGUCUAGAUUUCAACCACCAUCAUAAUUGCUGAAAAAUCAGGUUAGUAUUUUAUUUUUCCCCAUAAAUCUAAUUUUUAAGUUUUUUGAAUUUAAAACACCUUAUCAACAUCUUAUAAUACUUAAAAAUCAAUUUUAUAAAUUAUAUUAUUUUUAAAGAUUGAGAAUCUAAAUCUAUUCUUCGCAAAAAUCCUAGUACGCUAUCUAUUUUUGAUAUAUUUUUCAUUUCAGCUCUUUUUUUCAAUUCCAUAAUUUUCCAUCUAUUUCACCUCUACAUGUAUCAUCUCAUCAGCCUCUCGAGAGUCAACUUCUUUCAGAUAGAAAAAUAUUACUACCAGUCAAGAUCGAGGGAGCAAUGAGCUGGAUCCAUCUUUGCUUCUUGAAAAUGACCCAUGUCGAGAACAUACAGAGGAGACGGAGAAUUAAUUAAUGGAGAGCAAUGCAAUCAGCUUUCAAAACGAGAGUAGUUUAUCUUGCCCUCCCUCUUGAAGCUUCAAAUGAAAUGGAUCUUUAAUGCCGUCGUUGUAAGGCCAAACUCGGUAACUAUACCGAGAUAUGUAAAAAUCUCAACUUGGACUAUUUUUUAAUAUUUAGCCAGUCUUUCAUAACUCGCAAGUUAUGAUUCAAGUGGUUUAGAUUAUUUAUUUAUUUUUUAUUUGAUAGUAAAAGAUACAAAAAUUAAUUUAUCAUCAAUUUAAUAUUCAAGAUUAAAAUUCAAUAAAAAUCCCAAAUUAAAUAAUGCAAUUAAAAAAAGGACAAAAAAUUAAAAAAAAAAAGCCAAAAAAUCUUGACCCAAAAUUUUAAUAUUUAGUUAACAUGUUAAAUUUAUGACCCGAGUUAUGAAUUUUAUGAAAUUAAUUUUAUAUUUUAAAUUUAUUAUAUAAUAAGAUGAAAACUAAUUUAUUAGGAAAAAAAUGGUAGAAGCUUGAAAGUUAAAAAUUAGAAUUUCAUCUUCACACGAUUGAUCGAUUGAUACUGACUCAAAUCAAUACGAAGUGAUAGGUUUUUAUAGAUAAUUAGCUUAUCAUGGAGAUAAUAUACAAAGUUAAUUUGGUCAUUUCAUUAAAUUUGAAUGGUUAAGUUGUCUUAAGAUGUAAUUAAAUGGUAAUUUUUUGGAUUAUAGCAAGUAACUAUAAUUAAUUGGAAUAAAAAACACCACCACAAGACAGGGACGUCACACGUUACGUGCCACCUAAUCUUACACUUCUCUUUAAUUCUUGGAAAUGAUGGUGCUAAUUUUGGUUUUGAAAAACAAAUUAUUUUUUUAAAAUAUUUUUUUUGUUUUAAAUUAUUUUUUUAAAUUUUUAAAUUAUUUUGAUGUGUUAAUAUCAAAAAUAAUUUUUUUAAAAUAAAAAAUAUUAUUUUAAUAUAUUUAUAAAUAAAAAAUAUUUUUAAAAACCAAACAUUACUAUCCCACCGAACACCACAUUAACCAAUAUGUUAUAAAAAAUCUGAAGGGGUCCUUUCCAUAGUAGUGGUAUGACACAGUUAGCAAUUGUGUCUUUAAAUAAAAUAAAAAUAAAGUAGCUAAUCAUAUCCCAGAUAGUGACAUUAUAUUUUUUUUUCUAUUUCUUUUUAUUGAACAAUUGUCAAAUUUCUCAGACAAAGAUUAAAUUAUCCAAUAAAAAACAAGUUAUUUAUACAAAUCUUAAUGUAAUAUUUAGCAUGUUUACAGUAUUAGUUGAACCUAAUUGUCUUGUGUUAGAUGUUCUUUGAACUGUAUUGAAUAAUUUGUCUUAUUAUAAUUUUGAUAGAUAUUGAACGAGACUUAAUCAAGCCUAUAUGUGGAUCAGUACAGAUUUUUUAUAUAUAUAAAAAAUUAAAGAAAUAUUGGCCAGAUCUAACUAGUAAAAAUCUCAAAUCGAAAUGCAACGCAAUCGACUUGAGACAAAACACGGGUUAGAAAUUUAUUGAUUUUUUUAUUAAAAUAAGUUUGUUUUGAUUUUUUUUUUAAAUUUGGAUCAACUUAGUUGACCCUCUUUUCACGUGACCCAAGCUUUACCCCGGAUAAUAAUUAUUUUUAUUCAUACAUUGACUUAAAUCAACUCGAGUUGACUCUUUAGACCAGUGAACCAAGCGUUGUUUCGGGUCGACCUCCAAAUUAGAUUUUAAAACUAUGUUAUAGAUAUUAAGUGAAAAUAUAUAUCUUUAUGUUGACUUGAAUCAACCAUGUUAUAGAUAUUAAGUGAAAAAAUAUAUUUUUUUCCCUUUUUUUUUUUAAUUCCUUUCAUUGCUAUUUCUUUUUAAUUUAAUAGAUUGCAGGUUCGAGAAAUUAACCGGGGUUUAAAAGGCUUACCUGUGCUAUUUUUCUUUCUUUUUUAAGCUCUUUUCUUUUUUUGUUUCAUUUUCUAACAUUGUUUUGCUUCUUCUUCUUCUUCUUCUUGGUUGUUUUGAAAAUAACAUGGGCUAUCUCGAGUUUUUAUUUUUUUUGCCUUUGUUGAAUUUAAAAGUUUUAAAAGAAAUUUUGUUUUUGAAUCAGAUCAAAUUAAUUGAUUAAAUAUAAAUAUAAAAUACUUGUUUCAUGAUAUUUUAUUUUUUAAUUUAAUUAAAUUAAUUUAUUUCAUCAUUUGACAUUAAACUGGUAAGAAGUUGAGUAUUUUUGAAAUGAGCUUGGGUCUAUAAUUUAAUGGAUUGUGGGUCUGAAAGAUUAACCUGGGUUUAAAAGGCACACAUGAACUCUUUUUUUUAGCCUUUUCUUUCAUCGUCCAACAUUGUUUUGCUUAUUUUUUUUUAUACUUUUUAUAGAAUUUUUUAGUCGGUUUGAAAAUAACACGAGUUAUCUUGAAUUAUUUUUGGACUUUGUUGAAUUAAUUCUUUUUAAUUAAAUUAAUUAAUUAAAUUAAUUUAAAUAUAAAAUAACCAUUUCAUGAUAUUUUAUUUUAUGUACCUUUUGGGUUAAUAUUGAUCUAAUAGUGCAUACACUCCUUUCAAUUUUAUUUUAUUUACUUUUUGGAAAGUCAUUUUGAUCUGAUAACAUUGGAGAUAAAUAAAAAAUCUCUUAUAUGUCAUUAAUAAGAUAUAAUAUCUUUUACAUAUAAUUAAUAAGUGAUAAAUAUUAAAUAUUUUUGAAAACUUUUAUUCAUCUAAGAGUGUAAAUAGAUAAAUACCAUUGAUCUUAACAUUUUAUGUUAAAGGUUAUAACAAAAAACAAGCGGAGUUCUACGACCCAAUAAAGGGCCUCAAAUGAUCACUAAUUUUACAUGCAUCUUGGCUCGAUAAGAUGAUGAGUCUAAAAAUAUUGGGUUGGAUAGCUUUCUAAAUCUACAUAUAUUUAGGCUCAUCAUGUAGCAUGAUUCAUAAAUAUUGAGCUUGGUGAAUAUCAAACUCAUGUGUACGUGAGUCUAACUCAUAACUAAGUGCACAUAUAUUUAAACUCAAUAUGUAGCAGAGCUUGGACAUUGGUUCAUUUGGUCUUUUUUAAGCUACUGCAAAUGUAAAAGAUGCAAGAUGAUGUUACUUUGAGUAGGGUUUCUGUAGAAUUUCAUCGUAUUUUCUUAUUCCAGAAACAGGGGAUUUAUACAUCACAAUAUACAACCUUUCUAUUUGUGUUUGGAAAGGAAACAAUUACGAUCCCAUGACAAUCGGGAUUUACAUAAAUAGAAGAUAAACGUGACUAUUACAGCUAUAGUUUCCUAAUGUCUCUCGGUUUGUACAGCUCAUGCCAACACUCCUCCUCAAGUUGGUGUAGAAAUGUCUUUGAUACCCAACUUGUCAAGUGAGCUGUGAAAGUUUUUGUUUGAGACGGCUUUUGUAAGCAUGUCCGCAAGUUGGUCCUCUGAUAUGACGAACGGAAAGCAAAUUAUGUUUUCUUCAAGAUUCUGCUUAAUAAAAUGCCGGUCUAUCUCAAUGUGCUUCGUUCUAUCAUGUUGGAUUGGGUUUUGAGAUAUUUCUAUCGCGGCUUUAUUAUCACAAUAUAAAUUCAUUUCUGAAUUUGGUGCAAAACCAAUUUCUGAAAGCAGGCGUCUGAGCCAUAAAAGCUCACAAAGCCCCUUUGCCAUACCUCUAAACUCGGCUUCCGCACUUGAUAGAGCUACCACCUUUUGUUUCUUACUCCUCCACGUAACCAAGUUGCCUUCGACGAAUGUGAAGUAUCCUGAUGUGGAUUUUCUGUCGACCAAGUUUCCUGCCCAGUCUGCAUCUGUAUAGCCUUCAACAUCUAAGUGAUCAUUCUUAGAGAAUAUAAUCCCAUUUCUCGGAGCUGAUUUCAAGUAUCGAAGAAUCUGAACAACCACAUCCAUGUGAUAUUUACUAGGGAAAUGCAUAAAUUGACCAACCACGCUCACCGCGUAUGAAAUAUCUGGACGAGUAUGAGAUAAAUAAAUUAGCUUACCCACCAGUCGUUGAUACCUCUCUUUGUCGGUUGGGGUUUGAUCAGGAUACUCCCCAAGUUUCUGAUUCUGAAUUGUCGGAGUAUUCGUCGGCUUGUAGUCGAGCAUUCCAACUUCGGCCAAUAGAUCAAGUACAUACUUUCGUUGUGAUAGAAAGAUGCCUUGUUUUGAUCUGGCCACUUCUAUUCCUAGAAAAUAUUUGAGUCCACCCAAGUUCUUCAUUUCAAAUUCCAUGGCCAAAUGUUUCUCCAGUCUAUAGAUUUCUUCUGAAUCAUCUCCAGUGAUUAUCAUGUCAUCGACAUAGAUUAUCAAGGUAGUUAUUUUCCCUUGUCGUCGUUUUAGGAAGAGAGUAUGAUCAGAGUUGCUUUGUUGAAAAUCAUACUUUCUCAUAGCCAUGCUAAAGCGACCAAACCAUGCACGCGGUGAUUGUUUCAGCCCAUACAAUGCCCUUUGUAACCUGCAGACAAUUCCUGUGGAGGAUGACAUAUAACCUGGUGGGAUAUCCAUAAAUACUUCUUCCUUAAGAUCUCCGUGAAGAAAGGCGUUCUUCACGUCAAAUUGAUGUAGGGGCCAAUCCUAUCCCAGAUAGUGACAUUAUAUUUUUUUUUUUAUUUCUUUUUAUUGAACAAUUGUCAAAUUUCUCAGACAGAGAUUAAAUUAUCCAAUAAAAAACAAGUUAUUUAUACAAAUCUUAAUGUAAUAUUUAGCAUGUUUACAGUAUUAGUUGAACCUAAUUGUCUUGUGUUAGAUGUUCUUUGAACUAUAUUGAAUAAUUUGUCUUAUUAUAAUUUUGAUAGACAUUGAACGAGACUUAAUCAAGCCUAUAUGUGGAUCAGUACAGAUUUUUAUAUAUAAAAAAAAAAUUAAAGAAAUAUUGGCCAGAUCUAACUAGUAAAAAUCCCAAAUCGACAUGCAACGCAAUUGACUUGAGACAAAACACGGGUUAGAAAUUUAUUGAUUUUUUUAUUAAAAUAAGUUUGUUUUGAUUUUAUUUUUAAAUUUGGAUCAACCUAGUUGACCCUCUUCUCACGUGACCCAAGCUUUACCCCGGAUAAUAAUUAUUUUUAUUCAUACAUUGACUUAAAUCAACUCGAGUUGACUCUUUAGACCAGUGAACCAAGCGUUGUUUCGGGUCGACCUCCAAAUUAGAUUUUAAAACUAUGUUAUAGAUAUUAAGUGAAAAUAUAUAUCUUUAUGUUGACUUGAAUCAACCAUGUUAUAGAUAUUAAGUGAAAAAAUAUAUUUUUUUCCCUUUUUUUUUUAAAUUCCUUUCAUUGCUAUUUCUUUUUAAUUUAAUAGAUUGCAGGUUCGAGAAAUUAACCGGGGUUUAAAAGGCUCACCUGUGCUAUUUUUCUUUCUUUUUUAAGCUAUUUUUUUUUGUUUCAUUUUCUAACAUUGUUUUGCUUCUUCUUCUUCUUCUUCUUGGUUGUUUUGAAAAUAACAUGGGCUAUCUCGAGUUUUUAUUUUUUUUGCCUUUGUUGAAUUUAAAAGUUUUAAAAGAAAUUUUGUUUUUGAAUCAGAUCAAAUUAAUUGAUUAAAUAUAAAUAUAAAAUACUUGUUUCAAGUAAUUUCUAUAGGUCCUUUUCACCAUGGUAAUAAAAAACUGAGGCCUAUGCAAAUUCAGAAACAAAGAUAUCUGAAAGAAUUCUGUAAGAGAUUGGGAGGGGAAACAAAGGUGCAAGAAUCUUUGAAAGUACUUUGGAACACCAUUCAAAGUCUUGAAGAUAAAAUCAAACGCUGUUAUGCAGAUAAUACGUUUGUUAAAUUUUCUAGCAAUGAUGAUAAGUUUGUGAAGAUGAUUCUGUUAGAUGCAGUGUUCAUCUUCGAGCUCUUCUUGAAGAAUGAAGAAGAUACACGCGAUAACAAACGAUAUCAAGAUGAUUUCAUCAUAGGCAAACCCUGGCUGAGAGCUGAGAUUCGACGGGACUUGAUAUUGCUUGAAAAUCAGCUUCCAUUCUUCAUUCUCAAGAAAUUAUAUAGCCUUGCCAUCGAGGAAACAAAGCUCAAUUAUCCUUCUUUUCUGGACCUUUCCUGCCACUACUUUGAGAAGUACGGUAAGAACAAAACCAAGCCAGAUGAAACCAAGCCUUAUAAGCCGUUGCAUUUCACUGAUUUGGUAAGACAUUUUCUAUCCUUCAAGCACCCGCAGCUAUUAGAAUCACGAAAUGGAAAGCAAACUAAAAAUCUUUAUAGCGCAACCAAGCUGCAUGAGGCAGCGAUUAAUUUUAAGGAACUUCGAAAUGAAUGCUUACUUGACGUAAAAUUUUCUUCUAGAAAAGGUGAGUUACGUAUACCAUGUCUUCAGAUAGACCACCACACUGAACUUCUCUUCGGCAAUCUCAUUGCCUUGGAGCGGUGUCAUUAUAAAGGAGAAG
RNAcentral lists this long non-coding RNA (16740 nucleotides) under Populus tremula. RNAcentral describes it as "long non-coding RNA (PTRE_LNC000916)". Lineage: Eukaryota; Viridiplantae; Streptophyta; Magnoliopsida; Malpighiales; Salicaceae. The record is from RNAcentral.